Molecule: ribosomal RNA, 405 nt
Filed under: uncultured bacterium
Lineage: Bacteria
Description: partial 16S ribosomal RNA
Rfam family: Bacterial small subunit ribosomal RNA
Source: RNAcentral
AUUGAACGCUGGCGGCAGGCUUAACACAUGCAAGUCGAACGAGUGGCGGACGGGUGAGUAAUGCUUGGGAAUCUAGCUUAUGGAGGGGGAUAACUACGGGAAACUGUAGCUAAUACCGCGUACCAUCGGCUGCGCCCAAGUGGGAUUAGGUUGUUGGUGGGGUAAAGGCUCACCAAGCCGACGAUCCCUAGCUGGUCUUAGAGGAUGACCAGGCACACGGGAACUAAGAAACGGCCCAGACUCCGACGGGAGGCAGCAGUGGGGAAUAGUGAGCAAUGGGGGCAACCUGACGCAGCCAUGCCGAGUGAAUGAAGAAGGCCUUCGGGUUGUAAAGUACUUUCGGUAGCGAGGCGUUAACUACAGAAGAAGCACCGGAUAACUCCGUGCCAGCAGCCGCGGUAAUUC